GGGUGUAUAGCUCAGUGGUAGAGCGCUGUCCUGAUAAGACAGAGGUCGCAAGUUCGAUCCUUGCUACACCCACAA
Molecule: transfer RNA, 75 nt
Filed under: Candidatus Harrisonbacteria bacterium CG10_big_fil_rev_8_21_14_0_10_44_23
Lineage: Bacteria; Candidatus Harrisoniibacteriota
Description: tRNA-Ile
Rfam family: tRNA
About the family: Transfer RNA (tRNA) molecules are approximately 80 nucleotides in length.
Source: RNAcentral